Molecule: long non-coding RNA, 844 nt
Organism: Portunus trituberculatus (swimming crab)
Lineage: Eukaryota; Metazoa; Arthropoda; Malacostraca; Decapoda; Portunidae
Exons: 3
Source: RefSeq, a predicted model, not a curated record
CUGUUACGUCGCUGUAGAAAAAUCUUUAUUGGAUAGUUUAUUUUUGGGUGCCUUGCAUAGUGGUGAUCGCAGUAACUUAAUUAUUUAUUCACAUUUUUUUUUCUAUUAUUUAUUUUAAUUUGUCAUUUCCAGAGUAGUUUUGUUUCGGCUUCUAUUUCAUUUCAGAAGAGCGAGUGAAGCUUGGUGUAACGCCAUGGAAGGAACCUCAGCCUAGUGACACUGACGGAGCAGAGUAGUUUGGUGGCAUGCCGUGGAGAGAGCCCCUGUAAUACCUACGUUAAGUGCCGUGCCUCUGUUCUAGUUUGUAUUACUUCAGAGAAACAAAGAUCUAGGAUUCUGUUCUGGCUAGUUGUCCAUACUCAACGAAGAAAGACGACAGCGGAGACGAGAGUAGAAGGCGUGUAGGAGUGAGCCAGCCAGCCAGCCAGCCAAGACGCCUCGCCUCGCCUCCACCUGUCACCAGCCAUGCCGUGUUGUCUUCCCGUCCUCCAACAUGACCAAAACAUUGGAGUACAGGAGAAAUCGAAGAUAAGAGGGAAACCCAGAGAUUAAGGAUUUAAGGAGAGGAGAGAUGUGUACCACGAUGCUGAGGGAGAGAAGAUUCAUCCAUCAGUCAUCCUGCUGGCUCUGUGUGGUCUGCUGAGGAAGAGAGAAGAUUGGUCCUGCUGCUUCUGUCUAUUGUCUGUCUGUCUGUGAGUGAACCGGAGUGUAAGUCUCAGUGUGGCUGGCCGUGGUGCUGGUACAUGAGCUGUUGUGUGUUGUAAGUCCUCGGACUCCCCAACUAUCAUGGUUAUUGGUUUGGUUUUUUUUUUUUAAUAAAACUUUUUGCUGGUGAAAGUGUGUU